Molecule: ribosomal RNA, 468 nt
Filed under: uncultured bacterium
Lineage: Bacteria
Description: partial 16S ribosomal RNA
Rfam family: Bacterial small subunit ribosomal RNA
Source: RNAcentral
GACGAACGCUGGCGGCGUGCUUAACACAUGCCAGUCGAACGGACAGGCCCUGCUUUUGUGGGGUGCUCGAGUGGCGAACGGGUGAGUAACACGUGAGUAACCUGCCCUUGACUUUGUGAUAACUUCAGGAAACUGGGGCUAAUACCGGAUAGGAGCUCCUGCUGCAUGGUGGGGGUUGGAAAGUUUCGGCGGUUGGGGAUGGACUCGCGGCUUAUCAGCUUGUUGGUGGGGUAGUGGCUUACCAAGGCUGUGACGGAUAGCCGGCAUGAGAGGCUGACCGGCCACAUUGGGACUGAGAUACGGCCCAGACGCCAACGGGAGGCAGCAGUGGGGAAUAUGACGCAGUGGGCGGAAGCCUGAGGUAGCGACGCCGCGUGCGGGAUGACGGCCUUCGAGUUGUAAACCGCUUUCGCCUGUGACGAAGAGUGAGUGACGGUAAUGGGUAAAGAAGCACCGGCUAACUACGUG